RNAcentral lists this ribosomal RNA (523 nucleotides) under uncultured eukaryote. RNAcentral describes it as "partial 18S ribosomal RNA". It matches the Rfam family "Eukaryotic small subunit ribosomal RNA", at positions 592 to 976 of the family's 1831-position model. The record is from RNAcentral.
CAAUAGCGUAUAUUAAUGCUGCUGCUGUUAAAAAGCUCGUAGUUGGAUCCAGAGCUCAGGUUGCAAGGCGGCUCAGUUUGGUGCUUACGACGUACUGUUGUAUGUCUCAGGUUGGGGUACACCCCUUGCACUAAGACCUGUGCUCUAGAAACGGUGGUAAUGGUACCUGCAAGUAAUCUCUCCGGGGAUGAAAGCACUGACGCGUUAACCACACGCAUAAGGGUCGACCACCGAUGUUACUGUGAACAAACCAGCGUGCCCAAAGCAGGCGAUCGCCGUGAAUGAUAAAGCAUGGAAUAACAAGGGAUCGAUUCUCUCGAUGCUUUUUGUUGGUUCUUAACCCGAGCAGGAAUAAUCAAAACGAGGUUCUUACAUGUUGUCCUUGCGACUUCAUGUCAGUCCUCGUUGCGCGGGAUCAAUAGGGACUGCCGGGGUCGUACGUACUCCAACGUCAGAGGUGAAAUUCUUAGAUCGUUGGAAGACGAACUUCUGCGAAAGCAUUCGACAAGAAUGUCUUCAUUAA